UUGUAAUUUGUAGAAGGUGCCUCGGGUGAGACUGCGGCCCAAGUCCCCUGGAACGGGGCGUCACAGAGGGUGAGAAUCCCGUACGUGGCCGCCCGGACGAACCCGUGUGAGGCCCUUUCGACGAGUCGAGUUGUUUGGGAAUGCAGCUCAAAUUUGGUGGUAAAUUUCAUCUAAAGCUAAAUAUCUGCCGGAGACCGAUAGCGCACAAGUAGAGUGAUCGAAAGAUGAAAAGCACUUUGAAAAGAGAGUUAAAAAGUACGUGAAAUUGUUGAAAGGGAAGCGCUUGCAACCAGACUUGCUCGCGGGUGCUUAGCCGUUCCUUCGGGGCGGUGCACUCUCCCGCGAUCAGGCCAGCAUCGGUUCUGGCGGCCGGAUAAAGGCUCCGGGAACGUAGCUCCCUUCGGGGAGUGUUAUAGCCCGGGGUGCAAUGCGACCCGCCGGGACCGAGGACCGCGCAUUUGCUAGGAUGCUGGCGUAAUGGUUGCCAGCGACCCGUCUUGAAACACGGACCAAGGAGUCGACCAGCCGCGCGAGUGUUUGGGCGUAAAACCCACGCGCGCAAUGAAAGUGAACGGAGGUGGGAGCCCCCGGGCGCACCAUCGACCGAUCCUGAUGUCUUCGGAUGGAUUUGAGUAAGAGCACGGCUGGUCGGACCCGAAAGAUGGUGAACUAUGCGUGAAUAGGGUGAAGCCAGAGGAAACUCUGGUGGAGGCUCGCAGCGGUUCUGACGUGCAAAUCGAUCGUCAAAUUUGCGCAUAGGGGCGAAAGACUUAUCGAACCAUCUAGUAGCUGGUUCCCGUCGAAGUUUCCCUCAGGAUAGCAGUAACGAAAAACAGUCUCAUGAGGUAGAGCGAACGAUUAGAGGCCUUGGGAUUGAAAUAAUCUUAACCUAUUCUCGAACUUCGAAUAUGUGAGAAGUCCUUGUUGCUUAGUUGAA
Molecule: ribosomal RNA, 937 nt
Filed under: Reimnitzia santensis
Lineage: Eukaryota; Fungi; Ascomycota; Lecanoromycetes; Ostropales; Graphidaceae
Description: LSU rRNA
Rfam family: Eukaryotic large subunit ribosomal RNA
Source: RNAcentral